UACGUAGGGUGCAAGCGUUAAUCGGAAUUACUGGGCGUAAAGCGUGCGCAGGCGGUUGUGCAAGACAGAUGUGAAAUCCCCGGGCUUAACCUGGGAACUGCAUUUGUGACUGCACGGCUAGAGUGUGUCAGAGGGGGGUAGAAUUCCACGUGUAGCAGUGAAAUGCGUAGAUAUGUGGAGGAAUACCGAUGGCGAAGGCAGCCCCCUGGGAUAACACUGACGCUCAUGCACGAAGGCGUGGGGAGCAAACAGG
Molecule: ribosomal RNA, 253 nt
Filed under: uncultured bacterium
Lineage: Bacteria
Description: partial 16S ribosomal RNA
Rfam family: Bacterial small subunit ribosomal RNA
Source: RNAcentral